Meleagris gallopavo (turkey) is the source of this 4959-nucleotide non-coding RNA. Lineage: Eukaryota; Metazoa; Chordata; Aves; Galliformes; Phasianidae. The record is from RefSeq and is a predicted model, not a curated record.
GGUAAAACAUAUUGAGAAGCCUCCAAGAUGCUAAAGAAAUAUGAAUGGUUGCUGUUAGGCUAAUUUAUUACUAUUUAGCAGAGAACAAAUACAUUUUAAAAGGAUAAUGGCAAAUUAAAAAUCCUAUUAAGCAAAUUUGCUUACCUAGUACUUAGUAACAACUUGGGUUUAGAUCCCACAGUCAUUUAAAUGCAUGCAAAACUUUACACAAAUAUGCAGGCCCAGAGAAAUCUUGAAUCUCAGCGGGAUCAAGAACAUGGAUAUUAAGUAUGAAAUAAUUAUUAACCCUGCUGCCAAAUUAGUCUUUCACUCUUGGCACCACUAGUCUCCCGACUCUGCUUUUGCUUGGAAAAUGAAAAUCAAUGGGGUCAGGUUUACUUCUGUUUCUAGUCAGCGUCAAUUCAGUAACCUCAGUGCAGAGCUGGUUUUGCAGGAGAGUGUGGUAUCGAUCCUGUUUCUGAUCUGCAGCUCUUGACAUCACAGAGAAACCCAUGCUAGCCUGGGAGGCUGCUCUUGUCCGUACCACUGGGUUGGAGGGCUAUGCUCACUUUCUCACUAGGUCUGUGAGAUGAGCUGCUGUGCCCCAAGGCACAGGGGCAGGGACCUGCCUGGUUGCUGGUGGCCAGUGUGAUGGGCUGUGCUGCCACGAGCUGGCUAGCCAGGGGCAGCCCAAAGCUGGAUUUGCUAUGGAAAGGUCAGUCUGAAACUUUGCUGUCUUUGGCUGUCCCUCAGAUGUGUCACCACACCACACAGCUUGGUGUCAUCUGCAAACUGCUGAGGGUGCCCUCCGUGCCACUGCCAGUGUCAUUGAUGAAGAAAUUAAAGAGCACCGGUGCCAAGCUGACCCCCACUCAUCACUGAUCUCCACCCGGACACUGAGCCAUUGACCACCACUCUCUGGGUACAAUCUCACAGCCAGUUCCUCAUCCGUUGAACAGUCCACGCAUCAAAUCCAUCUUUCCAGUUGUGAGAGAGGGGUGCUGUGGGGGACUGUGUCAAAGGCCUUACUGAAAUCCAGGUAGAUGACAUCAGUGGCUGCUGUUAUGCCAUCAUAGAAGGGCGCUGUGUUGGUAAGGAGGACCUGCCCUUGAUAGCUGUCUCAUAGCAGCUCCCUCCCUCUCACCUGCCAUAGCAUAGCUUCCAGGAGGAUCUGCUCCAAGAUAUUGCCCAGCUCAGAGGUGAGGCUGACGUGUUGGUUGUCCUUUCUACCCUUCUUAAAAACAGGUGUGAGAUUGCCUGUAUACCAGCUUACCUUUCGGGUCUGCCCAGCAGCAGCUCAGCUGUGUAUGAUUCCCUUGUUUUUGAAUGAAGGGCAAACAAAUUCAAAACUCCAUGAAUGAUUAGAAAUCAGUCUAGCUUUUCUUCACUUUCUAGUUUGUAUUGUAAAUCAAAGCAGUAAUCUUUCCAUGCUUCUGGGUCAGAGAUUGGCAUUUUGUUAUCAUCAGCUGCAGCUUUCAUGUGUUUCUGGUGCAGAUAGGAGCUGCCCUUUUACCAAUGUUUUGCUGAUCCAGUUGUGUGUGGGUUUGCUCUUGGCAUGGGGUAAGCAUCACAGAGAUGGCCAGGCUGCAGAGAGCUGCCACACCGAGACCCAGCACUUCGGUGGACGCACAAGAGUUGUCCCUCUGCAUCUGGCAGCACAGGUGACAGGGCAGCCAGCUCUGCCUGCCCACGCAGCCGUGGGCCCGUCCCCCAGGAGUGCUCAUUACCAACUCUUCAUUAGCAGCUGAUGUGCUGAGGAAGGCCUGCAGGGAGGCUGGAGGCAGUGCUAGCUCCAGGCACCGUUGGGGGGUGCCUGUGCUGUCCGUGUUCCCAACUUGAGGUGCAGGAGCAAUGCUUUGCAGCUGGGGCCCACCUGAAUCCUGUGUGGAAGGGAAUGGGGCUCAUUCAGCACUGAAGGAUUCAUCCAGGCUUUUCAUCUUCCCUGACAGCGGGAGGUCCUACCCUCAGUGUGUGGGGAAGUGGGAGCUGCUGGUGCCUGGGCGUCCUCGGCCUGGUGCUGCUGCCAUACAAGCUGAGCUGGGAUGUGGUGCUCCAGGUAGCACCAGGAGUGGGGACGUCCCCUCUUGACCGAGGGAUGGUCUCCCUUUGCAGCCCCAACCUGUCUGCUUCUCACCUGGAUGAUGUGAUCCAAAGGGAUGUUGUUCCUGCUCCUCUCUCCUUGAACACUGUCAUGCUGCUGUAGCCAUGCUAAGAAAAAAAGCCCUUUGGGGAAAUGUUAUCCCACUUUUCUGCUUCUUCCGGACACACUAGUGAUAAAAACAUGCACAUGGAACAGCCACAAAAGGAGUAUCCUAAUUUGCUUCUGGGAACAGAAGUCUGCACCUUAGGAUGGCUCCAAAGUCACGGUGCUGCCCUGCUCCCUGAGGACGCCGUGCUCCCGUGCCUUUCCGUGUGGAUGUGGGCCUUGCAAGUGAUCCAUCAGCUCGCAUCUUUUCUGAAGUGGCAGGGCUGCAGCCGUACAUCUCUGAUCGAUACCGCCCAACCUUGACAUGGAAUCAGUCACUCGUAGCCUGCUCAUUACUGCUGGCUAACCGUUUGCCUGCAGCAGCUCCUUAAUAGCCUUCCCCGACUGCUGCCGAGUCACAACAAGAGUGUUUGGCAGCCUUAUUUACAUGCAGCAUUUCACCAGUCUCUGCUUCCUUGUGCUCGCAGCCCACCAUCUGCUCCGGAGCCUCAGAGGAGAUGGGGAGUGUGGAGCAGUGUGGAGCGUGGUGCCAGCCUUGUCCCCGUGGUGAUGGGGGGCCCUUCCCGCUGGGGGCUCCUCGAGGCUCAGCCUCAGCCUCUGUUUGUCCAGGAGACUUUGGCACUGUGCUUUGCUUUUAUUCUCGAGUUGAAGUAAUUUUAAUCGCAGUGAUUUUAAUCCGCUGUGUGUUUCAGCCUUCUCUAUGUUUACAGUCUCCAAGGGUGGGAAAGGGCUCAGGAAGUUCUUCCUAGAGAGCAGCUUUAAAAUGGCAAUUUAUUAUUUAUAAGCUGGGGGAUGGAUGAGGUCUGGGAAUGGAGUUCCUGCGAGUCUAUUAGCCGGGCAGGUUGUGCUCUGUGUCACUGCAAAGGCUCUCCUUGAUAUCCGCAGCAAGGUCUUAGACUUGACUCCCGACCUUGGUCAUGAGCCAUUAAUGAUCUCUGAAGAAAGAAAUACACUGACACAUGCACUUUGGGGGAUAUAUGGUACAUCUGCUAGCAUGCCAUUGAUUUACAUGAACAAAUGCAGAGUACAGUCCUUUUUUUUUUUUUAGUAAAGUGACUAUUACUUAAACUGAAGAGUAAAUUUCAGCCUUGGCCUCUGUUUCAUGGGAAGAAACAAUUGCACCCUUAGGAGUGUGGAUGAUGGCAAGAAGUGAUGUGUAGUGUGGGCAGUGUGGUGGAGAAGAACCUGACCUGGUGAGGAGGGCAGGGUAGCCUGUGCAUGCUUGCUGGUAGCAUGGGACCCCCAGGCUCUGGCACUGCAAAUGUCCAGAGCCCAAUUGCAGCCCUGCCUCACGCUUCUGGCAUUAUUAUUUGGGGUUAAGCUGAUGUCACUGAAGCAUGAAGCAUAUUGUGAGGAGAUCAGCACUGUGCAUCAGCGUGGAACUGCUCCUUUCUGGGACCCCCGUACCCAGUGCUGCGGACUGAUCCAAGGAAGGAGCUUGAAAAUGUAACUUUUAGCUUCAGAACCUUGCAGAUGAUCUUUAAUGCAUCUAAAUGGGAUUUGGGAAGAAUUUAAAACAAUUUUGGAGGUUGAGGUCGGCAUUACUGUGAACUGAUUUAGGAACAUCCUUCUCUUCAUGAACCUCCUCCUGUCUUUCCCUGGAGACCAUCAGGCACCACGUACUGGAUGGGCAGACAGCUGCUUUGCCCAGCCAGAGCUGGCAUCUUCACCUUCUGCCCCAGAUAAGAGUUAGCUUCUGCCUCCGGACCCCUUUUUUCCCCACUUACCCGCCUCAGUCCCCAUCUGGUUUGUGUCAGCAUAGUCCUUUCAGGAAUGUGGCAGCUCCAGCUCAUCUGGGACUCUCUUCCCACAUCAGUUGCUAAUGAAGGAGAGUGUUGUGUUUCAGGGUAAGAUUUGUUUCUCCGCUUGGCUGUAAGAGAUGAAUAUACUGUUCACAAGAGAGGACUUUGUGUUAUGUUCUCUCCAUGUUCUCUUGCAUACGAAUGUGGCUCCAGAGACUUGGAGGACAAGGGCAGCCUGAAAUGGCUUUGCAAACUGCCUUUUGCAGCUCAGCUGAAGUUAUUUAUUUCUUCUUUAAAACUAAAAAUUUCGAAAAAGAGAGAGAGAAAAUCCCUCUUUCCUCUAAGCUAGAAUUAGCAGUUGAAUUUUCUUUUAUGUGUGUUUCUUUUCUGAGCAGCCUGAUGGAGCUGUAGGUGUCCCUGUUUACUGCAGGGGAGUGGCACUGGAUGGCCUUUUGUGUCCCUUCCAACUCGAACCACUCUGAGUCUGUGAUUCUAAAAAGUGGGAGUUUUUCUGUGGGGUGAAGUAUCUUGAAUGCAUCUUGACUUGUCAGAUCUUGCACAUUUGUCUGGAUUUUGUUUUCCUUGAAAAACAAGGAAGCAGGGUUUUUGUCUUUUUUCUUCUUCUUCUCCCCCUUUGCCCCCACCCCACUAGAUCACGCUAACCUUGCUGACGAGGCUGGAGACUUGAGAGGGAAGUCACAUGCACCCAAAUUCUACUGGUUGGUUUUGUAUUCUGAUUCCACAAUCAGAAACUGAGCAAUCAAGUUCUUAGGCUUCCAGUUUCCUUCACAGUCCUCGCAGCUGGGAUAGUGCUCCUACUUGCAAGCUGGGUGCACCGAGAUCAGUAGAGAUGCACCAGCAUAGAUAACAUAGUUCUGGGAUAUAGUUGUCAUCUUUCAUCUGAGGCCAAGGUCUGUGCAGCCCUAGUGGUGCAGGGAGAUGCAUGACAUCAAGGUCUAAGAAGCUGUCUAGUCCAUCUCCUUCUCAGCCUGACCUCAGCCCCUCCCGCUGCAGUAAUCCAGAUGCAAUCAG